AGGGCAUAUAGCCCUCGCUUUUCUGUACCGUAAGGUGGUACAGGAACAAGGACUGGGCAAGACCGGUGCCAGCCGCCGCGGUAAUACCGGCAGUCCGAGUGAUGGCCGAUAUUAUUGGGCCUAAAGCGUCCGUAGCUUGCUGUGUAAGUCCAUUGGGAAAUCGACCAGCUCAACUGGUCGGCGUCCGGUGGAAACUACACAGCUUGGGGCCGAGAGACUCAACGGGUACGUCCGGGGUAGGAGUGAAAUCCUGUAAUCCUGGACGGACCACCAAUGGGGAAACCACGUUGAGAGACCGGACCCGACAGUGAGGGACGAAAGCCAGGGUCUCGAACCGGAUUAGAUACCCGGGUAGUCCUGGCCGUAAACAAUGCUCGCUAGGUAUGUCACGCGCCAUGAGCACGUGAUGUGCCGUAGUGAAGACGAUAAGCGAGCCGCCUGGGAAGUACGUCCGCAAGGAUGAAACUUAAAGGAAUUGGCGGGGGAGCACCACAACCGGAGGAGCCUGCGGUUUAAUUGGACUCAACGCCGGACAUCUCACCGGUCCCGACAGUAGUAAUGACAGUCAGGUUGACGACUUUACUCGACGCUACUGAGAGGAGGUGCAUGGCCGCCGUCAGCUCGUACCGUGAGGCGUCCUGUUAAGUCAGGCAACGAGCGAGACCCGCACUUCUAGUUGCCAGCAACACCCUUGUGGUGGUUGGGUACACUAGGAGGACUGCCAUUGCUAAAAUGGAGGAAGGAACGGGCAACGGUAGGUCAGUAUGCCCCGAAUGGACCGGGCAACACGCGGGCUACAAUGGCUCUGACAGUGGGAUGCAACGCCGAGAGGCGACGCUAAUCUCCAAACGGAGUCGUAGUUCGGAUUGCGGGCUGAAACCCGCCCGCAUGAAGCUGGAUUCGGUAGU
Molecule: ribosomal RNA, 908 nt
Filed under: uncultured Halobacteria archaeon
Lineage: Archaea; Methanobacteriati; Methanobacteriota; Halobacteria
Description: bacterial SSU rRNA
Rfam family: Archaeal small subunit ribosomal RNA
Source: RNAcentral